GCCAAGUUUAAAUCAUUUCAAGAUUAUUGUUGCAAACAAAUGCUUAUUAAAAAAUUGAGUCUUGAUUUGUAAUCAAUAGGUCCGCGGUUCGACUCCGUGCGGGGGCACCA
This 110-nucleotide transfer RNA is filed under the name Candidatus Pelagibacter sp. RNAcentral's name for it is "tRNA-Ser". The record is from RNAcentral. Lineage: Bacteria; Pseudomonadati; Pseudomonadota; Alphaproteobacteria; Candidatus Pelagibacterales; Candidatus Pelagibacteraceae.